This 301-nucleotide ribosomal RNA is filed under the name uncultured bacterium. RNAcentral's name for it is "partial 16S ribosomal RNA". It matches the Rfam family "Bacterial small subunit ribosomal RNA", at positions 509 to 809 of the family's 1533-position model. The record is from RNAcentral.
CAGUAGCCACGGUAACACGAAGGGGGCUAGCGUUGUUCGGAAUUACUGGGCGUAAAGCGCACGUAGGCGGAUAUUUAAGUCAGGGGUGAAAUCCCGCAGCUUAACUGCGGAACUGCCUUUGAUACUGGGUAUCUUGAGUAUGGAAGAGGUUAGUGGAAUUGCGAGUGUAGAGGUGAAAUUCGUAGAUAUUCGCAGGAACACCAGUGGCGAAGGCGGCUAACUGGUCCAUAACUGACGCUGAGGUGCGAAAGCGUGGGGAGCAAACAGGAUUAGAGACCCCAGUAGUCCCUGUCUCUUAUAA